This 468-nucleotide ribosomal RNA is filed under the name uncultured bacterium. RNAcentral describes it as "partial 16S ribosomal RNA". It matches the Rfam family "Bacterial small subunit ribosomal RNA", at positions 28 to 507 of the family's 1533-position model. The record is from RNAcentral.
GACGAACGCUGGCGGCGUGCUUAACACAUGCAAGUCGAACGGAAAGGCCCUGCUUUUGUGGGGUGCUCGAGUGGCGAACGGGUGAGUAACACGUGAGUAACCUGCCCUUGACUUUGGGAUAACUUCAGGAAACUGGGGCUAAUACCGGAUAGGAUCUCCUGCUGCGUGGUGGGGGUUGGAAAGUUUCGGCGGUUGGGGAUGGACUCGCGGCUUAUCUGCUUGUUGGUGGGGUAGUGGCUUACCAAGGCUUUGCCGGGUAGCCGGCCUGAGAGGGUGACCGGCGACAUUGGGACUGAGAUACGGCCCAGACUCCUACGGGAGGCAGCAGUGGGGAAUAUUGCACAAUGGGCGGAAGCCUGAUGCAGCAACGCCGCGUGCGGGAUGACGGCCUUCGGGGUGUAAACCGCUUUCGCCUGUGACGAAGCGUGAGUGACGGUAAUGGGUAAAGAAGCACCGGCUAACUACGUG